This 346-nucleotide ribosomal RNA is filed under the name SAR202 cluster bacterium. Its description in RNAcentral is "bacterial SSU rRNA". It matches the Rfam family "Bacterial small subunit ribosomal RNA", at positions 1 to 362 of the family's 1533-position model. Lineage: Bacteria; Bacillati; Chloroflexota; Dehalococcoidia. The record is from RNAcentral.
UUUAGAGAGUUUGAUCCUGGCUCAGGGUGAACGCUGGCGGCGCGCUUAAUGCAUGCAAGUCGAACGUGCCUUCGGGCAAGUGGCAGACGGCUGAGUAACGCGUGAGUAACACACCCUUCGGUGGGGUAUAGCCUCGGGAAACUGAGGGUAAUCCCGCAUACGAUCCCUAUGCUCUGGUGUAGGGAUGAAAGCCUUCGGGCGCCGGAGGAGUGGCUCGCGUCCUAUCAGGUAGUUGGUGAGGUAACGGCUCACCAAGCCGAUGACGGGUAGCUGGUCUGAGAGGACGACCAGCCAGAGGGGGACUGAGACACGGCCCCCACUCCUACGGGAGGCAGCAGCAGGGAAU